RNAcentral lists this ribosomal RNA (565 nucleotides) under Pteris vittata (Chinese brake). RNAcentral describes it as "eukaryotic LSU rRNA". The stretch from base 195 to 348 matches the Rfam family "5.8S ribosomal RNA". The record is from RNAcentral. RNAcentral also lists the same sequence under 2 other names. Lineage: Eukaryota; Viridiplantae; Streptophyta; Polypodiopsida; Polypodiales; Pteridaceae.
GGAAGUAAAAGUCGUAACAAGGUUUCCGUAGGUGAACCUGCGGAAGGAUCAUUACCUAGAGUUGCGGGCUUUGCCUGCCAUCUCUUACCCAUGUCUUUUGAGUACCUUACGUUUCCUCGGCGGGUCCGCCCGCCGACUGGACAAUUUAAACCACUUGCAGUUGCAAUCAGCGUCUGAAAAAACUUAAUAGUUACAACUUUCAACAACGGAUCUCUUGGUUCUGGCAUCGAUGAAGAACGCAGCGAAAUGCGAUAAGUAGUGUGAAUUGCAGAAUUCAGUGAAUCAUCGAAUCUUUGAACGCACAUUGCGCCCCUUGGUAUUCCAUGGGGCAUGCCUGUUCGAGCGUCAUUUGUACCUUCAAGCCUUGCUUGGUGUUGGGUGUUUGUCUCGCCUCUGCGCGUAGACUCGCCUCAAAACAAUUGGCAGCCGGCGUAUUGAUUUCGGAGCGCAGUACAUCUCGCGCUUUGCACUCAGAACGACGACGUCCAAAAGUACAUUUUUACACUCUUGACCUCGGAUCAGGUAGGGAUACCCGCUGAACUUAAGCAUAUCAAUAAGCGGAGGA